ACAGUUUGAUCAUAUUGACAAAAUUUUAUCUAUCAAAUCUGAGUCUAGGGUAUCAAAUAUGUAUAAUUUUAAAAUACAGGGUACCAUAUGAGCAUUAUUGAAAACAGAGGGUACCAAAAUGAUACUUUGCAAAAACAUAAGGUACCAAAUGAGUAAAUUCCCUAUAUUAUAUCUAUUUUCUCUUGGAUUUUCUUAGUGCAUGGAUUUAUCUAAAAUAGUUUGACAUUGGUUAUCAGACAUGACCAUAAGUUUGCCAGGACACUUUUGCGUUCUUGAAAUUUAUUUUUUAGGGUCCGGAUGGAUCCGAAACCCUAAUUCUGUUGAAAUAUUGUUACCAGUGGUCAGUGACUUGGUCAGUUACCACCUGUCUUCUCUACAUACUUUUGUUUUAAAGUUGAACUUACUAAGCGUUUUCGUUUACCUAGUUGUUUCCUGUUGUAGGUAAGAACAAGGGCAAAGUAGAGCAGUGAGCGCUGUAGUCUAAUUUGUGGGAAGCUGUUUUGUUUUUGGAUGUUACAUUUGGUAUCAGAGCUCAAGUUGAACCGGUUCUGUAGACAAUCCCCAUGUACAUUUCACAAAGAUAGACCGACACUCACUGUUAUGGCUGAUAUACCUGAGAUAGGUGACCCUAUGACAGAGAAACUACCCAUGAUCCCUUCGCCUAGGAUCGAUUACUAUAGACUCUUUAACGAUAAGAAUCCUUGACGCUUUGAGUACGAUAAAUGGCAUCAGCAUGUCGUUUGGAAAUGGACACAUUACAUGAUAGAAGUCUUUGAUAGGGCCAACACACCCGAGUGAGGAGAGUGCGAUAUGCCAGCACUUGUCUGAGAGGAUCGACACAGAGAUGGUUUCAUCAUAGCUGUUGGCGACUGGUUUGCGACACCUAGGAUGUCUUCCGUAUGCAAGGCAGUAGAGCCAGAGGAGGAUCCCAAGAAGUUGGACGAGGAUAUCAACAUAAAGGUGGAUAUCCUGAUGGAUAGCCUAGAUUAGGUUAUGUUGUGAGGAUCUUGUUGAUACUUUUUGUAAAGACUUCGCAAACCUAUUAGGUUUUAGGACUUUUAUAUAUUUGUAACAGGCGUAUGUAGAAACUUGACGUGUAGCUAGGGUUCUAUUUUGUAUUUAUCGAUCUACUAACUAAAAAUUUAUGGCAUGAUCUAUUAUGAUCAUUUUGUAUUUUUAGGUUAUAUCCCUGAAUGUUAUGGCUA
Molecule: long non-coding RNA, 1205 nt
Organism: Humulus lupulus (European hop)
Lineage: Eukaryota; Viridiplantae; Streptophyta; Magnoliopsida; Rosales; Cannabaceae
Exons: 3
Source: RefSeq, a predicted model, not a curated record